GAUGAACGCUGGCGGCGUGCCUAAUACAUGCAAGUCGAGCGAACGGACGAGAAGCUUGCUUCUCUGAUGUUAGCGGCGGACGGGUGAGUAACACGUGGAUAACCUACCUAUAAGACUGGGAUAACUUCGGGAAACCGGAGCUAAUACCGGAUAAUAUUUUGAACCGCAUGGUUCAAAAGUGAAAGACGGUCUUGCUGUCACUUAUAGAUGGAUCCGCGCUGCAUUAGCUAGUUGGUAAGGUAACGGCUUACCAAGGCAACGAUGCAUAGCCGACCUGAGAGGGGGAUCGGCCACACUGGAGCUGAGACAGGGUCCAGACUCCUACGGGAGGCAGCAGUAGGGAAUCUUCCGCAAUGGGCGAAAGCCUGACGGAGCAACGCCGCGUGAGUGAUGAAGGUCUUCGGAUCGUAAAACUCUGUUAUUAGGGAAGAACAUAUGUGUAAGUAACUGUGCACAUCUUGACGGUACCUAAUCAGAAAGCCACGGCUAACUACGUG
RNAcentral lists this ribosomal RNA (497 nucleotides) under uncultured bacterium. RNAcentral describes it as "partial 16S ribosomal RNA". It matches the Rfam family "Bacterial small subunit ribosomal RNA", at positions 28 to 507 of the family's 1533-position model. The record is from RNAcentral.